GUGGGGAAUAUUGGACAAUGGGGGGAACCCUGAUCCAGCCAUGCCGCGUGUGUGAAGAAGGCCUUUUGGUUGUAAAGCACUUUAAGCGAGGAGGAGGCUACCGAGAUUAAUACUCUUGGAUAGUGGACGUUACUCGCAGAAUAAGCACCGGCUAACUCUGUGCCAGCAGCCGCGGUAAUACAGAGGGUGCAAGCGUUAAUCGGAUUUACUGGGCGUAAAGCGCGCGUAGGUGGCCAAUUAAGUCAAAUGUGAAAUCCCCGAGCUUAACUUGGGAAUGGCAUUCGAUACUGGUUGGCUAGAGUAUGGGAGAGGAUGGUAGAAUUCCAGGUGUAGCGGUGAAAUGCGUAGAGAUCUGGAGGAAUACCGAUGGCGAAGGCAGCCAUCUGGCCUAAUACUGACACUGAGGUGCGAAAGCAUGGGGAGCAAACAGGAUUAGAUACCCGGGUAGUCC
This 451-nucleotide ribosomal RNA is filed under the name uncultured bacterium. Its description in RNAcentral is "bacterial SSU rRNA". It matches the Rfam family "Bacterial small subunit ribosomal RNA", at positions 354 to 796 of the family's 1533-position model. The record is from RNAcentral.